Molecule: long non-coding RNA, 299 nt
Filed under: Vitis vinifera (wine grape)
Lineage: Eukaryota; Viridiplantae; Streptophyta; Magnoliopsida; Vitales; Vitaceae
Description: long non-coding RNA (VVIN_LNC003403)
Source: RNAcentral
AUGCUUCGACAGUCAAAGCCUUGCUCCUGUCCUGCCAUGGAUAUUCGGAACUGCUUCAGCUUGUGCAGCAGGACUAUUCAAUUGGGGCGGAGCCUGGAUGAUAUGGGAUCCACCAAAUUAGCUUCCUCAGCCACUGAAUCCUGCAAGCUAAGGUGGAAAGUGUUAUGGAGAAAGUUUAAGAAAGAAAAGGAGAAGAUGUUUCAGCCUUGGGGCUCUGUGAAGGUUACCUACGAUUCGUACUCUUAUUCUCAGAAUUUUGAUCAAGGGUCACUCUGGGAUGAACCUGAUUACCACUCUCG